AACUUCAGUCUGAAAGCUCACCGGGCUCUUUCAGAGUCAAAGCAGAGACUCCAGUUCAUCCUCGGGGUGAAAGGCCAGGCUCUCUUCCUAAAGAUACAAACCAGACCUUUAUGCACAGGUACAGCUUCCUGUCUGAGCAGGAAACUCACGUCUUUCAACUCUCAGAACUGCUCUUCCUCUGCUCAACUGGCCUUUGUUGCACCUGAGCUCCACCUCUGUCACAGAGCAGUGCUGCCGCUCCAGGAAGUGUUUUGUGUCACCUGUGGGUGGGGCACAGAAGCAGAGACAGAAAAAGUAAAGGAGGGGAACAGGGACUUGCGGGUCAAACAGUUAAAUGACUUUCAGGGUUCAGGUUUUUCUAGCAGGUCGACAGGUGACCCUCCUCCUCCUCCUUCCUCCUCUGCCCGGGGGCAGCAAAAUCUAGAAGAGUGUGUUUUGCUUGUGCCUCAGGGAUCAGGGGAACCGCAGCCGGCAGAGGCGCAGCCAAGGCCCCGCCCCCCUGCAGCUACACUCCACCUGUGUCUGGAACAGGUGAACCAGCUCGAGCUGUGGCUGCUCACAGCGGAGCAGAGCGUGGCGUCUGCUGGAGCUGCCAUGCAUAAAGGCGUAGAAGAGCAGCUCCGCACCUACCAGGAGAUGAUUCAGGAGAUCGAGGUGAAGGUCUCCAGCCUGUCAGAGCACAGAUGCGCUCUCGACCUGCAGAAGUCACAUGAGGCGUCCCAGCGAGAGGAGGCGGAGCUUCUGAUCUCCAGACUGGAGCUCCUGAAAGUCAAGCUGGUGUCCUUCCAGCAGCUGCUGCAGGACGGACACGGCGAGGAAAACAUCUGUGACGGAGAGCCAGAAGAACAGGUUCUUACCUUCUAAAACGCUUCAGACUGCAAGAAAACGAGCCAAACGUUAAUGCCUCUACAUGACUUAGAACAAUACAAAAAAAAUGUCUGCUGAUGUCAGCAGAAAACUCGUCUUUCAUAUUUCUGUCUUUUCUUUCCUAUUUUUACCUUAGAGCUCUCUCCCCCAGACACAGCCCCCCCUUGAGACGGUGCUAAAGCGCAGCAGCGAUGUCCAGGAAAUCUUUUCCUCGCCGCAAAAUACGCUUCUCAGACAAAGCAGCCUGCAGCAACAGAAGGUAAUUCUCGUGAUUCCUAAAUGCAUUCAUAAAGAUGGUUUAGGUAUAACGGAUCAACUGUUUGGUAUUUGAGAAGUUCAUGACAUCAGAGGAUGGAUCCUGAGAACUGGACCUAAUGAGUGUGACCCGUAGAAAAUGGCCUACUUCCAAAAAGGACGUCAAUUCCGUUACCAUUUUUCGCUACAUGGACGUUGUCAUGGAACCAAAAAUCAUCAGUUAGCAGUAUUUGAUGUGAAUCAUAGUUAACAUUCCUAUGGCAACCACUCUUGCCAAUCAGGAGUGAGCUUGUUGGAGGCCACACCCCUACUAUUUGCCUACUAUGUGCAAUACCUGUCAAUCAAACGUUUUGUACGUGAGACAUGAGACCACAAACUUCUACUGAGGCCUUUGAAAGGUCACUUUAUAACUUCAAUAACUUACCAUAAAGAAAAAAAAUAUCAUUAAAAAACAUGUAGGGUUAUUAAGAAGAUUUUUAAAAGUAGCAGAGCAAAACCAGUUGUUCUGACCAUAGAAUGAGUACAAACUGUUUCCUUUUCUAUAGAAGUCUGUGGGAUUUUGGCUUCCUGGAGUCAGCGGGUACUUCCUGAGGGGGUCACUCAGUCCAGUUCUCAUAUAGUCAAUAGAGGUUGGUUAAGCAAACAGAAACAGAUUUCUCAUUUUCAGUGUUUAGGCUCUGGUCGAAUAUUACAUCAAGGAAUCAUUUACUGGAAAACUUGCAUUUGUGGGUGAUUGAAGACGUGGUUUGCAGAACCUGAAAUGAAUGAUCAAAAGUAAAAAUAAAAACAUGAAACACAUGGCGGCCGGAGGGACAGGCGUAA
Molecule: long non-coding RNA, 1944 nt
Organism: Oryzias sinensis (Chinese medaka)
Lineage: Eukaryota; Metazoa; Chordata; Actinopteri; Beloniformes; Adrianichthyidae
Source: Ensembl